AGACAAUAGAUACCCCGGUAGUCCACGCCGUAAACGUUGGGACACUAGGUGUGGGGCCUUAUCAACGGGUUCCGUGCCGCAGCUAAACGCAAAUAAGUGCCCCGCCUGGGGAGUACGGCCGCGAAGGCUAAAACUCAAAGGAAUUGACGGGGCCCGCACAAGGCGGCGGAGCAUGUGGCUUAAUUCGGUAAUGCGACGCGAAGAACCUUACCUGGGCCUUGAACUACGCGGGAAAAGCCGUAGAGAUACGGUGUCCGUAAGGGUCCGCGAUAGGUGGUGCAUGGCUGUCGUCAGCUCGUGUCGUGAGAUGUUGGGUUAAAGUCCCGCAACGAGCGCAACCCUUGUCCUAUGUUGCCAGCGGGUUAUGCCGGGGACGUCGUAGGAGACUGCCGGGGUCAACUCGGAGGAAGUGGGACGACGUCAAGUCAUCAUGCCCCGUUAUGUCCAGGGACUGCACACACUGCUA
This 466-nucleotide ribosomal RNA is filed under the name uncultured bacterium. RNAcentral describes it as "bacterial SSU rRNA". It matches the Rfam family "Bacterial small subunit ribosomal RNA", at positions 775 to 1227 of the family's 1533-position model. The record is from RNAcentral.